GUCUAUAAUGCAGUCGAGCGAAUCUGAGGGAGCUUGCUCCCAAAGAUUAGCGGCGGACGGGUGAGUAACACGUGGGCAACCUGCCUGUAAGACUGGGAUAACUCCGGGAAACCGGGGCUAAUACCGGAUAAUAUCUAUUUAUACAUAUAAUUAGAUUGAAAGAUGGUUCUGCUAUCACUUACAGAUGGGCCCGCGGCGCAUUAGCUAGUUGGUGAGGUAACGGCUCACCAAGGCGACGAUGCGUAGCCGACCUGAGAGGGUGAUCGGCCACACUGGGACUGAGACACGGCCCAGACUCCUACGGGAGGCAGCAGUAGGGAAUCUUCCGCAAUGGACGAAAGUCUGACGGAGCAACGCCGCGUGAGUGAUGAAGGUUUUCGGAUCGUAAAACUCUGUUGUUAGGGAAGAACAAGUACCGGAGUAACUGCCGGUACCUUGACGGUACCUAACCAGAAAGCCACGGCUAACUACGUGCCAGCAGCCGCGGUAAUACGUAGGUGGCAAGCGUUGUCCGGAAUUAUUGGGCGUAAAGCGCGCGCAGGCGGUUCUUUAAGUCUGAUGUGAAAGCCCACGGCUCAACCGUGGAGGGUCAUUGGAAACUGGGGAACUUGAGUGCAGAAGAGGAAAGUGGAAUUCCAAGUGUAGCGGUGAAAUGCGUAGAGAUUUGGAGGAACACCAGUGGCGAAGGCGACUUUCUGGUCUGUAACUGACGCUGAGGCGCGAAAGCGUGGGGGAGCAAACAGGAUUAGAUACCCUGGUAGUCCACGCCGUAAACGAUGAGUGCUAAGUGUUAGAGGGUUUCCGCCCUUUAGUGCUGCAGCA
RNAcentral lists this ribosomal RNA (822 nucleotides) under Cytobacillus kochii. Its description in RNAcentral is "bacterial SSU rRNA". It matches the Rfam family "Bacterial small subunit ribosomal RNA", at positions 46 to 853 of the family's 1533-position model. The record is from RNAcentral. Lineage: Bacteria; Bacillati; Bacillota; Bacilli; Caryophanales; Bacillaceae.